CAGAAUGAACGCGGGCGGCGUGGAUUAGGCAUGCAAGUCGAGCGCGAAAGCUUGGGAAACUGAGCGAGUAGAGCGGCGACCUGGUGAGUACAAGGUGGGUAACCUUCCCCGAAGUGGGGGACAACCGUUGGAAACAACGGCUAAUACCGCAUGUGGACCCUGUGGAUUCGUCCUUGGGGUCUAAAGCAGUAAUGCGCUUCGGGAUGGGCCCGCCUCCCAUUAGCUAGUUGGUGAGGUAACAGCUCACCAAGGCGACGAUGGGUAGCUGGUCUGAGAGGAUGGUCAGCCACACUGGGACUGAAAUACGGCCCAGACUCCUACGGGGGGCAGCAGUCUAGAGGCUUCGGCAAUGGGGGAAACCCUGACCGAGCGACGCCGCGUGGAGGAUGACGCCCUUCGGGGUGUAAACUCCUUUCGACCGGGAAAAAGGCCCGGACUUGUUUCGGGAUUGAUGGUACCGGUGGAAGAAGCCACGGCUAACUCUGUGCCAGCAGCCGCGGUAAGACAGAGGUGGCUAGCGUUAUUCGGAUUUAUUGGGCGUAAAGGGCGCGUAGGCGGCCAGGUGCGUCUGGUGUGAAAGCGCUACCGCUCAACGGAGCGAGUGCACUGGAUACGACUUGGCUUGAGUCCGGGAGAGGUGAGUGGAAUUCCUGGUGUAGCGGUGGAAUGCGUAGAUAUCAGGAAGAACACCAGUGGCGAAGGCGGCUCACUGGCCCGGCACUGACGCUGAGGCGCGAAAGCGUGGGGAGCAAACGGGAUUAGAUACCCCGGUAGUCCACGCUGUAAACGGUGGAUACUAGGUGUGGGGGGUAUCGACCCCCUCCGUGCCGCAGGCAACCCAUUAAGUAUCCCGCCUGGGGAGUACG
RNAcentral lists this ribosomal RNA (866 nucleotides) under uncultured bacterium. RNAcentral's name for it is "bacterial SSU rRNA". It matches the Rfam family "Bacterial small subunit ribosomal RNA", at positions 25 to 884 of the family's 1533-position model. The record is from RNAcentral.